Molecule: small nuclear RNA, 165 nt
Filed under: Nannospalax galili (Upper Galilee mountains blind mole rat)
Lineage: Eukaryota; Metazoa; Chordata; Mammalia; Rodentia; Spalacidae
Description: U1 spliceosomal RNA (ENSNGAG00000002933.1)
Rfam family: U1 spliceosomal RNA
About the family: U1 is a small nuclear RNA (snRNA) component of the spliceosome (involved in pre-mRNA splicing).
Source: Rfam by way of RNAcentral
AUACUUACCUGGCAGGGGAAACACCAUGAUCAGGAAGGUGGUUUUCUCAGGGCGAGGUUCAUCCAUUGCACUGUAGGAUGUGCUGACCCCUGCGAUUUCCCCAAAUGCGGGAAACUCGACUGCAUAAUUUGUGGUAGUGGGGGACUGCGUUCGCGCUCUCCCCUG